Molecule: long non-coding RNA, 1802 nt
Organism: Numida meleagris (helmeted guineafowl)
Lineage: Eukaryota; Metazoa; Chordata; Aves; Galliformes; Numididae
Source: Ensembl
ACACCAGCUCAGAUCGGUCACCCUAUGCACUCCUCACAGUCACUGGACUAAAGCAGCCUCUUGUAGGACACUGUUCAUCUCAUCCAGAGGGAUAAAAUCCUGCAAGUGCCUACUUCUUACUGCAGUCAACAAGAGGAGACUACAGUGAACUGACUUGAUCAGGUUAGAUGUUUGGAAGAAUUUCUUCUCAGAAAGAGUGGUGAGGCACUGGCACAGGCUGCCUAGGGAUGUGGUGGAGUCACUGUCCCUGGAGGUGUUCAAGAACUGUUGAGAUAUGGCGCUGAAAGACGUGGUUGGAGGGCAUGGAGGGGAUGGAUUGGCGGUUGGACUUGAUGAUCUUAGAGGUCUUUUCCAACCUUAAUGAUUCUAUGAUUUUAUGAUUCUAUGACUUCAGAGGCCCUGGAGCUCUCUCAAAGGUUACUGAAGAAGCCCUUGACACCAGCGGCCUGACCUGGCCCUUUGCUGAGAGGUAUUGCACUGGGAAGAAGUAGCAGAAGCAAAAACGUGCUUUGAGCUCAGUUGCUGCACUUCGAGCUUGAUAUAUCACCCAGUAUCAUCAGUGAGAACUGAUGCCCUGUACCUGAGAUAUGAGCGCCUACUUCUCUUCUUCACAGGAAUACUCUGGCAUACAGCCUGUUGACUAGCCUGUGCUUCUUUCUGAAGACAAAUCUUUGGUAUGAAAACAGAUGGCUGGUUUUCUGCUUUUACAGGAUACUUUAGGUUCCAAAAUUCAGGCACGCACAAUGAGCAUCAAAUGGCCAUCCAUUAUGCCCAGGGAUGUGCUGGUUGCCCUGUCCCUGGAGACAUCCAAGGUCAGUCUGGAUGGAGUUCUGAGCAACUUGAUCUAGCUGUAGGCAUCCCCAUUCAUUGCAGGGGAGUUGGACUAGAUGGCCUUUAAAGGUCCUUUCAAACUCAACCAUUCUAUGCUUCUAUGAUUAUUUUUCACUGUAAGCCAAAUCGCAUAAAGGGCUGGCAGACCUCCAGUAAGCACAUCAGGUCUUAUUUUCUGUCUUCUUUACAUCUUCCUUGUUAGACUUCCUUUGCUGAAAAAACUACCCAUAUAGCCCAGUGUGAAGACUUCUAAUUAAAUUAGCUGCUUUAUUAUGGUCUUUUUUUUAGAAAUUCCAUUGUAUUGUUAUAAUAAUUUAUUUCCCUUAUUAGACUGAAGGUUGAUUAAAAGCAGAGCAGAUUAAAACCUGUAACUCAGGUUGUGGGUUCUUAUGUUAUAUAAAAAGACAGUAGUAGUCAAAUAUGUAACUUUUCCCCAUGAGUUCUUUCUUUGAGAUAGACACUAAUUCUGUUUUUGAGACAAGUCUCACUAUCAGAUGCACUUAAUCUCAUAACAUUAUUACCUUAAGUACACUAGUCUGUUUGCAGCCAUUCUAAUGCAUGUAUAUGGAAAUGUAUAUAAUCACAAAAUAUGUUUAAUCUUGGGUAUAUUGAUCUUAAAGGAGAAAUCCAGCACCCAGCAUACUAUAUUCUGAUCACUCUGCUGUUGUCUCAGUCCUGCAACUGGGGAUGUGAUUCUUUAAUAUUGUUUUUGCUUCUCUUCCAUUUUUAGAUGGGAUACAGUAUGAAGAACAUUAUGCAAUGCACAUUGAUAUAUCACCCUGACCCUGAAACUUAGAGUGCGUCAGACCAUAUUCCUCAGUUGAAUUAUACUCAGCUCAGCACAAACAUUUUAAAUAGAUGAACCUCAAGGAAGAAAUGCUGCCCUGCGACAUUUCAAAGGCAUUUGCAAAAAAAUAUGAGUUGGGAUUUUAGAGUUCUUCUUGUUUUCAUUACUCUGUGCUCAAGCACUG